UGCAGCUCACAAACAGGGGGACAACCGUGAGAAAAACCAGCAGCCCUUUCCUUUGUCCAAGCCACCACCAAAGAACAACGGCACCCCCUAUGUGUGGAACUCGAAAUUGCCGUGGAUAUAUAGAAACCUAUGGAGCUUGAUCCUUCGUGUGAGGAAAUAAAGGAUCUGAUUUCCAAUAUAGAAAUAUACUAAGUGAAGUUGAAGAUUGUUGUGAAGAUACACCGUCUGAUCUAGCAAUUGUGAGCGGCGAUCAUCGAGCUUGUUGCUUAUCGUCGAACUUGUUGGUUCUGCUGGCCGAAAACUUUUAGUUGUUGCCGAGACAUUUCAACUUGCCAUUUUAAAAUUGUAAAGCCUCGUUGCAAUUUCUAAUUAUUAUUGAAGAGAUUUUUUCAAUAAAAGGUUAGUUUCUUAGUCUUUUCUUUUUGGAUAUUAGUUCAUAUAACGUUUCUUUGUAUUGUCUUUUCCAACUGUUCUUCUUCGCC
RNAcentral lists this long non-coding RNA (482 nucleotides) under Nicotiana benthamiana. Its description in RNAcentral is "long non-coding RNA (NBEN_LNC008105)". The record is from RNAcentral. Lineage: Eukaryota; Viridiplantae; Streptophyta; Magnoliopsida; Solanales; Solanaceae.